Molecule: long non-coding RNA, 4486 nt
Filed under: Theobroma cacao (cacao)
Lineage: Eukaryota; Viridiplantae; Streptophyta; Magnoliopsida; Malvales; Malvaceae
Description: long non-coding RNA (TCAC_LNC005515)
Source: RNAcentral
CCAAAUUUCCCAAAAUCCUCUCUUCCAAAAUUAAAGAAAAUCUUUCAAACCAAUUCAUAAAACACCUUAAAAACAUCAAGUUCUUUUUUCAAAAAUCAAGAUUCAAGGAUUUUCAUCAACUUUUCUCCAUCAAAGUGUAGGUUUUUGCAAGUAAGUGUUAAAAUUUUUGCAAGAAAUUUUAUUUCUGAGGAACUUGAUUAUUUGAGAAGAGUUGUGUUGAUAAUUCUUGAUGGGCUUUGCAUAUUGUUGGUAGUAUUGACUUUGUGCUUGAAGUUUUAUGGAGAUUUAUGGUGGAGUGUGAGAAUCGCUUAAUUGUCAACAUAGAAUAAUGUCAAUUUGUUGCACAUUGUGCUAAUUUAUGAGAAUUUGUUGAUUGUUGGUGAUAUUAUUGUUGCUGCCAUAGAUUUGGAGAGAAUUGAAUUUUUUAUGAUUAUUUGUGGAUAUAUUUUCUGUUUGUUGGGUGUUUGGAAUUUGUUGAAAAUUAAUUGUGAAUUUUUUAGAAAACCAUGGCACCUAAAAGAACUAAAAAUACAAUAGUGGGUUUGAUAGUGCUAAAUUUGUGUCAGUUGAGGUGUUUAAGCACCAUAAUCAGUGAUUAGUUCAAAAAUCUCCGAUCCCUUCAAGAGGCAUAAUCCUUGAAAUACUUAUUCAUACCUUCAUUUCUCCAAGUAGUGGACAUUCCAGCACAAAAGUUGCUCCACACAUAAGCAAGAAUCCAUUUUUCUUGAAUAAAAUGCAACUUCUUAAACCAAUUAUUUUCCUACAAAUUAUACUUUUCAAUUAUCUCCACCUAUUCUGAUUCAAACUCAUCUAGAAUUAAUGCAUAAUGAAUACAUUGAAAAAUUCAAUUCUUGAAAUCAUCAAAUUAAUGGUAACCAUAACUGAGAUUCUCUGGAAAUUGUUUUUCAAUAUACCAUAUGCAAUAAUGAUGUGUAGUAUUUAACAAAUCCUUUGCAAUUGCAUUAGUUAUGGCUGCAUCUUGAUGUAUAAUAAUUGUUUUUCGAGGAUGUCCAAACAUUGCUUCCAACUAAGUAUUUAAUAAUCAAACAAAUGUUGUUUCUAUCUCAUCCCAGAACAAAGCACAACCAAAUAAAAUGGAUUAGUGGUGGUGAUUAACUCCAAUAAAAGGAACAAAUGGCAUUUUCUUCCUGUUUGAUAGAUAGGUUGGUUCAAAAGCCACAACAUCACCAAAAUACAUAUAAGCCCUUCCCGACCUAGAACCAGCUCAAAAACAAUUAGCUAGUUAACCUUCCACAUCCAUUUGUAUUGCAUAAAAAAUCCAAAUUCUUGUACUAACAUUCUUUAUUAACUAUGCACCUUCCUUUUUAAGUUAUUUUUGUCUUCUAUUAUUCAAAUAAUUUUGAACAUCAUGCUCAAUUAAACCAACAAUAUCAAUGCCACCCGAUUCAUUAGUUAAAGUAGACAUGACUUUACUAGGAUGAAUUCCUGAAUCAUCAAGUACAUUAAUCAAAUUUUGUUGAGUUCUUGUCCUUUUUCUAUGAACAUGUAAAAAUUGUGCACUUUUUGGAGUAGCAAGCUCAUAAGUAUGAAUUUUUAUGAAUCUAGAAAUUAGCCAUUUCUCUUCAACUCUCUUGGAAACAUAAAUCUUGGCUUUGCAUCCAACUCUUAUCUCAUCAGUUGGUGCUUGAAUUCUAUCUUCCCUCUCAAGAUAUUUUUUUUGUACAAUAACCUUCCUUCUAACAAACAAAUUCUUGUCCGAUAAUCACUUAAGUUUUCCAAGAUUUCAUUAUGUGAUGCUUGCAAAUUCCAAAUCCCUCACGCUUUGCAUACUUAAUAUAGUACUCUAAAGCCUCUUCUAGUGAUUGAAACUCCAUUCCAACAAAUGGCUCUAAACACUCUUGAUUAUUUGAUCUUUCAUUCUCAUGCUCAUCAUGAUUCUUCACACUCAAAUCUAAUAUAUUUUCACAAUCAUAAUCUUGAUCAAUCCCAUCAACAUUGAUUCUUUGUCAGCUUGAGUUGCCAUUAUGAACCUAUAACAAAAAUUUAAGAUUAUAUUUUAAGUAAAAUUAAAGCCAAUCUACACUAAGAACCGCUAAGUUCAUUCCAUGUUCAAAAAUUCUAGUCUAAACUUUAUAAGUCCUCCAAAAGUUAAAAUAACAAUUUCUUGAAAGAACAUACUUGCAUAGCACAAACAAAAUUCCAAGAAACUUCAAACAAACCAAUCAUCAUAUGCCAUAACAAAGAAUCCUAAUUAAAAAUGUCAAUAUAUUCAAAUUCAAUUUAAUGUUUACCCAAACUAUUGGUGGAAAAACAAAGCCAUUUUGAAUUCCAUAAGCAUAGUCAACUUUUAAUAUUUAUAUCAAAAUACUAAGUUGCAUAACAAAGAAACUAUAUCGAAAAUGACAUCACCAUCUUAUGAACAGUUAUAGCCUUUUUUAUUCUUUCUUUCAAUUGUAAUUGGAUUUAAAUUGUAAGUUAAUGCAUCCUUUUUAGAAUGUAGAGAAUUUAUGGCAUGCUUGGUUAAGGGAAUAGAAUAGCUAUUACCCCCUAUUCCAAUUACCAACAAAAACUACAUUUGGUUGGAUGGAAUGGUCAUUCUAAGGAAUGGUCAUUCCAAGAGGGCUCUAAAUAGCUAAUACUAAGCCUCUUUGGUAUUGGCUAUUCUUGAGGAUUAGAAAUAGAUUUAUAAAUUGAUUGGACACAAAUGUCACUUAAUAAUAUAAAAAAUACUCUCCCAUAUAAUACCCUAUUCCAUUGUCGCAUCUAAACCAACCAUCCGUGAGUUUCUUUCUCUUCAAUACUCCUUCUCUUUUUAAAUGAACCAUGCACUAUCGCCCUUUUUCACAAUCGAUUUCCCUAUAUCUAGUAAGUUGUUUAUUAUCUCUCUCUCUCUCUUCUAGUUUGGAUACUUUUUUUUGAAUAGUUUUGGGUUAACCAAGAAAAGAAAAAGGUUUUUAAUUUAUAAAGGAAUUCGAUUCAGUCACACAAGAAUUCUUCUUUUCUCUAUUCUAGGUUAUCAUAGCAAAACAAUUCAUAGCUUUUAAGACAAUCUAGAUAUUUGAUACAAGAUUCAACUCAUUAAUGCAAGUCUUUUCAGUUUAUUAUUCAAAAGAUUGACAACUCAAUCUAGCUAGGGCUUUAAGGAAGCUAGGUAAUUUUCACUUCUAAUACUCUGUUUCUUUUCAUGCUCAUAAACAUGGAAAAAGUUUGCUUGCUUGAUUCAAUUUCGUGCAUCUUAAGAGUUGUUCGUAAUUCUUUGUUGGACUUAUUUUGUCAUUUUCCCUCUUUCACCAAGCUAUUCACUUCAGCUACAAUAAUGGUAUUGCAUUGAAAAUGAUCAGUAACAGUGUUUAUGCUAAGCCCAAGUUUUAAGACCUCACACUCUCAUUUUGAGUCUCAAUUCAUAUGUGGGUCUUGGAUGUACUUUCAUAUUUCUCCCAAAAAGUGAUUGGAAUAUCAUGAUUUCGAGCAGCAUUCAUCCAUUAUAAUUUAGGAGGCUUUUGAAGGCAUGGUGGUCUAAACAAAAAAAAGGAAAAAGGAAAAAGAAACUUCAUUUUCUUCUUUCAUUCUUAGGAAUAAGUCAUUACUUUUUGAGAACAAGUAGAAUAAAGGAUUAAGACCUUGAAGAAAGAAUGGACACUUGUAUAUGAUAUGGUACAAGGAAGAGGUACUAGUGGAUCUGGUUGAAAUAAUGAAAGGAACAUGGUUAUUACGAAAGAUGCUAUAUGGGAUUCUUAUAUAAGUGUAAAUAUGUUGUUUAAAUUUUUUUACAUAUUUGUAUUCAUUUUUUCUUAUCAUUAUUAUACGUAAUAAUAUUAUUUAUUUACUUUGAUUAGAGUCACAAAAAUCCUACUGAGUUUAAAAAAAAGGAGUUUUCCUUUUUUUAAUGAGUUAUUUGAUAUUUAUUCUAAAGACCAAGCAAUAGAACAAGAUGCUCAAACUCUUGCAGAUGUCUUAGAUGAAAUUGAAGAAGAUGCGGCUCAUGGGAUAGAUGAAGAUUUUGCAUGUGAACAUGAAAUUGGUUUGGAUGAUGUGGAUGUCUCUACCACCUAACCUCAACCAUCAGUUAAUAGAAGUAAUCAAAAUUCUAUAAGAAGUAAGAGGUGAAGGACCAAUGACAUGAGUGAAUGGAUUGAAAAAUUUAUGGAUGCUACCAUUUUAUUGAGUGAGAAAUUAGAAAAUAUUGGAACUUCAUUAAGCCAUGCUUUAGAGACUGAAGUACUUAUGCAUAAAAAAAUCUUCAAGAUUUGAAUAGCGGAUUACAUAAAGUUGUGGGUUUGACAGAGGAUGAAAUGGACAAGGCAUCCUACAAACUUACUAAUAAUUCAUCCCAAAUGACUUACCUUUUUACGCUUCCCCUUAGUAGCAGACUUAAAUGGUUGAGAAAGAUCAUCUCAAGGCCUUGAUGUUAGAAUAGUUUGGUCUUUCAAGACUUUAUUGUUAGUUGGUGAGAACUUAAAAACUUGUUAGUUGGUUUGUUCUUCUAUGACAACAAUAUUAUUAUGGAUAUCUGUGUUUUUGAAUA